UACAGAGGGCGCAAGCGUUGUUCGGAAUCACUGGGCGUAAAGGGCGUGUAGGCGGCGGGGUGUGUCCGGUGUGAAAUCCCUCGGCUCAACUGAGGAAUGGCAUUGGAAACUACCUCGCUCGAGUGCGGGAGAGGGUGGCGGAAUUUCCAGAGUAGAGGUGAAAUUCGUAGAUACUGGAAGGAACACCUGAGGCGAAGGCGGCCACCUGGCCCGUAACUGACGCCGGUACGCGAAAGCGUGGGGAGCAAACAGG
RNAcentral lists this ribosomal RNA (253 nucleotides) under uncultured bacterium. RNAcentral's name for it is "partial 16S ribosomal RNA". It matches the Rfam family "Bacterial small subunit ribosomal RNA", at positions 524 to 776 of the family's 1533-position model. The record is from RNAcentral.